UACAGAGGGUGCGAGCGUUGUUCGGAGUUACUGGGCGUAAAGGGUGUGUAGGCGGUUGUUUAAGUUUGGUGUGAAAUCUCCCGGCUCAACUGGGAGGGUGCGCCGAAUACUGAAUGACUAGAGUGCGGGAGAGGAAAGUGGAAUUCCUGGUGCAGCGGUGAAAUGCGUAGAUAUCAGGAGGAACACUGGUGGUGUAGACGGCUUUCUGGACCGUAACUGACGCUGAGACACGAAAGCGUGGGUAGCAAACAGG
RNAcentral lists this ribosomal RNA (253 nucleotides) under uncultured bacterium. Its description in RNAcentral is "partial 16S ribosomal RNA". It matches the Rfam family "Bacterial small subunit ribosomal RNA", at positions 524 to 776 of the family's 1533-position model. The record is from RNAcentral.